Tetranychus urticae (two-spotted spider mite) is the source of this 107-nucleotide non-coding RNA. The record is from Rfam. NCBI's taxonomy places the organism in Eukaryota, Metazoa, Arthropoda, Arachnida, Trombidiformes, Tetranychidae.
UGCUUUCAUCUUUAGUUGGUUGAAUCCGGGCCAAAUUGAUUUUGUUUAAGCACAGAAUUAUUAAAUAAUAUUUGGUCCCCUUCAACCAGCUGUAGAUAAGCAUUCAG